Molecule: long non-coding RNA, 633 nt
Filed under: Ananas comosus (pineapple)
Lineage: Eukaryota; Viridiplantae; Streptophyta; Magnoliopsida; Poales; Bromeliaceae
Description: long non-coding RNA (ACOM_LNC023787)
Source: RNAcentral
UAGUCACCUACUUGGGGGCUAGGGUUACUAUACUCUUAUGAUUAUAGAGCACUUCGUACUCAUAAGUUAUUUGUACUGAUGGAGCUUUUGAAUCGAUGAUCCGCUCCCUUAAAUAUGAUCAAGAGUAUUUGAAACUUUUAGAAAAUAAAUUUCGUAAUUUUUUGAAAUCAUAAUAAAGUUCAUCAAGUGGGUAUAAAAUGAACAGUUAAAAUCGAACGACGUCUUAAAAAUGGAUGAUCGGAUCAUUCAAUUUAAGAUCGGAGUUAUUGAUCUUUAUUUAUGUAGCGAAUAGAAUUUUCUAUUAAAAAUUCAACUGAUUUCGAUUCUUUUACACCGUUAAACUAGCAAAUAUUCCACACCGACCGUUAAAAAUUAUCAAUUUUGUGACUUUUUGAUCGUAAGGUAAAUAAUGGCAAAAAAUUAUAAAAUUUAAUUUCUAGAUGUUUUAAAUGUUCUAAAUAACGUUUAACGGUGUGAAUCGUCGAUUCGGAAGCUCUAUCAUCGAAAACAAAAUACGAGUACGAGUACGAUCGUACCCAUAAGAGUAUAAUAGCCGGACUCUCCACUUGGGUACAAAUACAAUCAACACCUCUCUUUCACUCUCUCUCUCUCUCUCUCUCUCUUUCUCUUUUG